RNAcentral lists this ribosomal RNA (1467 nucleotides) under Staphylococcus aureus. RNAcentral's name for it is "partial 16S ribosomal RNA". It matches the Rfam family "Bacterial small subunit ribosomal RNA". The record is from RNAcentral. Lineage: Bacteria; Bacillati; Bacillota; Bacilli; Caryophanales; Staphylococcaceae.
GAUGACGCUGGCGGCGUGCCUAAUACAUGCAAGUCGAGCGAACGGACGAGAAGCUUGCUUCUCUGAUGUUAGCGGCGGACGGGUGAGUAACACGUGGAUAACCUACCUAUAAGACUGGGAUAACUUCGGGAAACCGGAGCUAAUACCGGAUAAUAUUUUGAACCGCAUGGUUCAAAAGUGAAAGACGGUCUUGCUGUCACUUAUAGAUGGAUCCGCGCUGCAUUAGCUAGUUGGUAAGGUAACGGCUUACCAAGGCAACGAUGCAUAGCCGACCUGAGAGGGUGAUCGGCCACACUGGAACUGAGACACGGUCCAGACUCCUACGGGAGGCAGCAGUAGGGAAUCUUCCGCAAUGGGCGAAAGCCUGACGGAGCAACGCCGCGUGAGUGAUGAAGGUCUUCGGAUCGUAAAACUCUGUUAUUAGGGAAGAACAUAUGUGUAAGUAACUGUGCACAUCUUGACGGUACCUAAUCAGAAAGCCACGGCUAACUACGUGCCAGCAGCCGCGGUAAUACGUAGGUGGCAAGCGUUAUCCGGAAUUAUUGGGCGUAAAGCGCGCGUAGGCGGUUUUUUAAGUCUGAUGUGAAAGCCCACGGCUCAACCGUGGAGGGUCAUUGGAAACUGGAAAACUUGAGUGCAGAAGAGGAAAGUGGAAUUCCAUGUGUAGCGGUGAAAUGCGCAGAGAUAUGGAGGAACACCAGUGGCGAAGGCGACUUUCUGGUCUGUAACUGACGCUGAUGUGCGAAAGCGUGGGGAUCAAACAGGAUUAGAUACCCUGGUAGUCCACGCCGUAAACGAUGAGUGCUAAGUGUUAGGGGGUUUCCGCCCCUUAGUGCUGCAGCUAACGCAUUAAGCACUCCGCCUGGGGAGUACGACCGCAAGGUUGAAACUCAAAGGAAUUGACGGGGACCCGCACAAGCGGUGGAACAUGUGGUUUAAUUCGAAGCAACGCGAAGAACCUUACCAAAUCUUGACAUCCUUUGACAACUCUAGAGAUAGAGCUUUCCCCUUCGGGGGACAAAGUGACAGGUGGUGCAUGGUUGUCGUCAGCUCGUGUCGUGAGAUGUUGGGUUAAGUCCCGCAACGAGCGCAACCCUUAAGCUUAGUUGCCAUCAUUAAGUUGGGCACUCUAAGUUGACUGCCGGUGACAAACCGGAGGAAGGUGGGGAUGACGUCAAAUCAUCAUGCCCCUUAUGAUUUGGGCUACACACGUGCUACAAUGGACAAUACAAAGGGCAGCGAAACCGCGAGGUCAAGCAAAUCCCAUAAAGUUGUUCUCAGUUCGGAUUGUAGUCUGCAACUCGACUACAUGAAGCUGGAAUCGCUAGUAAUCGUAGAUCAGCAUGCUACGGUGAAUACGUUCCCGGGUCUUGUACACACCGCCCGUCACACCACGAGAGUUUGUAACACCCGAAGCCGGUGGAGUAACCUUUUAGGAGCUAGCCGUCGAAGGUGGGACAAAUGAUG